AUGGAACUCAGGCAGUGGCGCGCCAUUCCUAUCGCCGUCGUCACACCGCUGACCCCGAGCGGGAUCCGCCAUCCCCACGGCGAGGCCCCUCCUCGGCGGGCGCCCCUCCCUCGUCACCGCCAGCAACAGCCACACCGUUUCCAACGUGGCGGAGCACAGCCACACGGCCGGGGCGCUUGGACUCCGCCUGCUCUUCGGCGUACCCGCCGGCUCAACCUGCGCGGUCGGCGGCUCCGGCACGACGGCCCCCCCGCAGAGUCGUCGUCCGUGCGCUCGACCACGCAAGAGGGCUUCAACCAUGUGGACCAUGCGGGAGCAGGAUCCGCGCUCGGACCCGUCCUCACCGUUCUCCCGUUCGUGGCACGUGCCGACGUAGCGGACAGUCACAACGGACACCCUCGUUUCUCCCAGGAGUGCCACAACAUCGCCGACGCGGCAGGGUACGACCUGGACGCUCGGGUUCGGGCUAUCCCCGCUCCUUGGCGCCGGCGGCUCCACCUCCGUCGCCACGGGAGGGCGACUCGACCUGGCUGA
This 534-nucleotide ribosomal RNA is filed under the name Triticum aestivum (bread wheat). RNAcentral describes it as "partial small subunit ribosomal RNA". Lineage: Eukaryota; Viridiplantae; Streptophyta; Magnoliopsida; Poales; Poaceae. The record is from RNAcentral.